ACAGGUGCAGGCGCCGGCGGGAGGGAGCCCCGCGGGCGCGGACCGUCCGAGUUGCCCGAGCGGGAGCGGCGGCGCCCGGGAGCCCGGGGCGGGCGGCGGCGGGCUGGGCAGAGGCGCUACGGCAGCCCCCGGCGGCCGCCCACGCUCCCGGCGGGCCCCGCCGCCGCCACAGCUGCCGCCGGAGUCAGCGCGAAGGCGGCAGCGGCCACCUCCGAGAGGAAGGAGGAGAGCGGCGGGGAGCGAGGGAGGGGAAAGCAGAGCGAGAGAGGAGAGAGAAACCGCCUCGAGAGAAAUUAAUCGUCACAUGACGGUCGCGAUCCGCCGCCGCCCCCCGACAGCCGGAGCCUCCGCCGGGGAGCCGGGGAAAAGCUGCGAGGAGGGGACACACCUGUAGGCGCAGCACAUAUCCGCUGCACUCCGCUAAAAAGCACCUCUGCUAAAAAGCAAAUUUCUCCCAGGAAGAUGCCAACAGGAGCUAGUGCAGAGCCUACUCCCUGCCUGCAUGUAAGCACAGCAUCACCUUGCUUUAGCAUUGCGAUCUUCUCCGCGUUCAGAUGUCAAAUUUGUCUCAACUGUAAGUAAUGUAGGGAUAAUCUAUUAAAAAGAGGGAUAUCUUAGAAGAAUGGCUCAGGUAAGCUUUGGGCAAGUUGUUUAGACAUUGUAGGUAGCUUUCCAUCAGUCAAAUGUGGACCAGCAAUGUUGCAAGGAGUAAUUAAUUAGCUGCUGUUGGCACUUUGAGUGCAGCUUCAUUAAAUGCUGUGUGCAUUGGGCUUCCCACUGAAACAACAGGAGAGAGCUGGUCCGAAAGCCAUGCUUCUCAAACGGCACCCUGGAAGUUGCUGAAAAAUUGUCAUUGCAUCUCAGAACGGCAACAGAUACCAAAUAAAUAAAAAUCAGCUCCAAAACCUGGGCAAGAGUAAGAAGUGAGAGGCUGUUGGAGGAGAUGUUAAAACCAUCUUUCAGACCUUGGCCGUGCAAAGUGCCGCCGCAGUCUUAGCGGUGGGUUGGGACCAUUCAAACGUAACGUGGUAUUUUGUGGGGUUUUCCCUCAGGGGUUGCACUCGGGAGGCAGAGUGCGCUGGCUGGGUCUCACCAGUCUGGCCCAGUUUUUGUGCUAACCUCCACCAGAAGGCCCUCGUCCCUGUUUGCCUCCUUCCUUUUCUUCACCUGACUGGGCAGAGUCACUGUGAGGUGGGAAAGAACAGCUCUGGUAUAACUGUGGAGCAUUUCAGAAGAUCCGGAUCCCCCCUCUGAACCUCUUUGCUUUCUUGCUGGAAGAGAGAAGAGGAGUCUGAAGAGGAGGGAGAUGGGACUUCCCUAGGAAAAUUGGGUUAAUCGCGUCCUGCAAGCCCUGGGAGGGAUCCAGGACAGGGAAACUCACAGGCUGCUAAUGGGCUUGAAACCUGCCCGUGGACAUGUACAGAGCCAGAGCAAUGGUGACAGUUUAUUUAAUUCUAAAGAGGAGCUGGUGAAGUGAAGCCAUGCUGAAUCCUUAUCCAGUCCGUAACAAUUACCUGCUAUGCAUUUGACCUUGCCGAGUGUGACAGGGAUUAUGAAGCUGAACUAGAGCUCAAGGUGGCCACACAGCAUCCCAUCCCAGGACAGCUGUCUUCUCUGCUAAGCCUCCAUAAGUUGCUGUUCUGCCAGGCACAUGUAGAUGUGCUAAAGCAGCAGCAUGGCAUAUCGGCCCGUGCUUCUGCCAGCUGGGGCCCAAACAUGUGCCACAGCACUUUUGUUACUGAAUUUAGUGCUGAAUUCAGCUCUUGGCCCAGUUGUGAAGGUGCAAAGUGUUCACAAGAUGGUCUUCUGCCUCCCGUCGUCCCUUCCUUGUCUUGGAGCCAGCACAUCGUCCUUCUCCCCUGUGGAGAACUAUGUGAUACGGGGUAAUACCUUCCCAGUGAACCCAGAUAAAGAGCUGCACAUCAAAACCUGCUAUUUGCAGCUGAAGGAUUAUUCCCCUUCCUUAUCACCACCCACCAAAAAAGAAAAAAAAAAAAGGUCAAAUCACAUGCUAAAUGCAGAAAUGCUUAGAAAAGAGCAAUAAGCAAAAGAUUGAAUGAUUAACAGCUUCCCAGACUCCUGGGAAUCUUCACUGCCGGCAUGCACUUCUUACACGUGCACCGUGUGUGGCUCAAGGGGGAAAGCCUUGCUCUCUCUCUUUCUCUCUCUCUCUCUCUCCAGUGUAAGGAUGCAGAUAAUGGGACUGCAUGUGAACAGGACUACAGUCCAGAUUUCAAUUUCCUAUUUAUUUCCUCGCUCUGCACUCUCUCCUCACCUUGUUACCACCCAUUCGUUGUUAUGCACGUCCUUCUGGUUUUUUUUCCCCUCUGCCUGUUAUUAUCUUUUACACUGGAUGCAACGCCUGUGCCUCUCUCCCACUUCCCCUCCCAGCGCCGUCAAAUCUCAAUUUUAUCUAGGGCGCAGCAAUACACAGUAUCCUUCCUACUGCCAAGACCUUCGAGGCCUGUAAAAAAGAGCCGAAUUUCCAGCUGUGAUUAUUAAAAACACCUUGUUCCGUGAGCAACAGGACUAAUGAAGCCAUGUUUCCUGUGGCUCUGUCUCUGACUCACUCCUUGCUAUAACCUCAUCUCCCGUUUCUCUUUCAUGUCCGAUGGUACAUCUCUUCUCGGUGGCGAAAGGCAGCAGCCGCUGUUGCUGGUCCAGAGCGGCACGCGUGCUGCCUGCGCAGCGCGGCUGCCUGCACUGCCGGGACGACUGGCUGCUGCCAAGCACAGCCCUUAACAGUCGAGUUCCUCCUGCAUCUCUCUCUGUUGGGAAACUAAUUUGAGUCUCUAGUCAGUGAUGCUCACAAACCCCUGGGAACUUAAUUAUCUUUGAUGCUUCUACCUCUUUUAUUCAUUUGUUUGCAACUAGCCAAUGUGUUCUGACGUUUUUAUGAGGGGCUGAUGGGCAGAUAAACAGCCAGAUGAUUGAUUAUCAGCCUUUAGGAAGGAAGGUUGUUUUCCUGUGGUCAUGGAGACAACCUGAGAGCAACCCAAACAGCUAAAAAAGAACCUCAAAUCCUUUAAAAUUAUUGCAAUUGCACUUUCUGUGUGCAGAAAAGUUUGAUUGUCUGUGUGCCCACAUGUCCGAGCAACCUCCUUACAUCCUGCUUGAGGGUGUCCUGCAUCUCAGCUUUCUUCUGAAGGGUAGGGAGGGGGAAGAAGGGAAGGAUUCUGCCUCAUGUAAGCAGCAAUGCGUCUGUCUGCUGUACCAGGCAACAGCUGUAGUUGAGAUUCAGUCUGCCCUCGCACUGCUGCUACCGCCAUCCUUUGUAAGAAAUUUAUAUCAAUAAUGGGAAUGGAAAGAGCACAAGAAGUAGGACACUACCUGAAUGGUUUUAGUCUCGUGGUUAAGAUACAAGCAAGGACUCUACAAGACUUUUUCACCCUCCAUCCGAUGUCUUUGGUUCUGAUAGGGCACUGCAUCAUCUUCCGCUAGUGCCUGAAAUGACCCAGAUAUACAUAUUUAUAUUUUUUACAGUCCAUAAAUCACCCUGGGAUCUACUUUUUCUGGAUGAAAAGUGCCAGAUAAAUCUAAGGUGUUGUUAUUAGUUUUGAGAAACGUCACUGUGCAUGUCCUGACUUUCAUGCCCUUUGCACCAAACUCAUGUGGCAGAUCAAUUUGUAUAUAUUUAGGUUUUUUGGGGUGUUGAUGGAUUUCUCAGUGCCCACUUUCCAAAAAAGCAGAAAAAAAUGUUUAAGGGUAAAAUAACCUAAGGUUAAUUGUGUGAUUCCCUUCAUUUUUCUCCUUUGGUGCUGGAAAAUAUUUGAACCACCUGGAGUAGGUGGUUUUUGGUAUUUUCUAACCAACCCUCACUUUAUACAUUUGUUUACCCCUGUGCAAAAUGUUACCCAGUCAGAAUUUUGCUUUCACUUAGUUUAGUGGCAUUUUCUGUAUACUUUGCUACAGAUAUAAAUUGCUGCACAAAGGUAUGAGAUAGAAGACCAGCAGGCCCUGGAUACAAUUUCCAUGUGGAAUCCGCAGAAGGCCUUAUAUGGAUGUGUGCAAUGUCUAUAUGCAUAUGUAGAACUAUUACAAGUAGCAGCCCUUGCAGUCAAGACUUGAUGUCCUGACAUUGCCCUGGUUGUACCCAAUUGUGUGUGAGCCUAGUUAAGAGAUCCUCGGGUAAUGAAGAUGUUCAUAUGGGCAAUGCUUGUAUUUUUUAAUGCUACCUUGAAUUUUCUGAGAAAUUUAAUUAAAAAAAAAUCAAAAUGUGAUAAGAAAUUUCAGCAGAAAGUUUAGUGUUGUUUCAAAAUGUAGCUAAAAUGAAAAUGAAUGUAAAAUGUUGACAACUAAUAUUUGGCCCUGCCCUUUUUUUUCCUCCUCCUUUUUUGUUUAAAUAGACCCUUCACAAACACACACACACACCUGUACAUCUAUAUAAACCAGCCUAACCAGCAUUUCCAACUUUAAUUAAAGGCAGCUGCCUAGCUAAGUUCCAAAGCCACUGCUUUGCUAUGACGAAGUAACAUUCAUUUUAACCACAGCCAAACUACUUACACUUGAUGGUAUUGCUAAUUCUGCAACUGGUUGGAGAACUGGCUAUUGGAAGUAGUUAAUUGCUAUGUGUGCUGCUAUAAAUAUAUCUAUAUUGUAGAAAAAAUAAUAGAAUCUCAUUAUCUACUAAUAUUUGAACUAGUAUUAUUGUGGAGAGCUAGGCUGUGGGAAGGCAAUUACAAGUAAGAGUACAUGAUUACAGUAUUCUGUUCAGAAGUGGAAAAUCAGAUUUAACUGUUUUAUCCUGGAAAUAAUUAAUCUUUUUACAUCAGUAACCUCAGAUAGUGUAUAAUUAAUAUUUUCCGAACAUAUAUUGCAGAAAUUUUGUGUUUAUACUAUUCAAGUGUAUCUGGACUAUAGUAUUUAAAUAUACACCUAAAAUAGUAGGAGUUUAAUACGGUACAACAGAGUUAGAGAAGCAUUUAUCAUUUUAAAAGACUUAGACCAAUCAGAAUUCAUCAAUGACACCUCAGUUAAGAUAGAAAAAUAAAGUAUUGACUACUAACACA
Aquila chrysaetos chrysaetos is the source of this 5009-nucleotide long non-coding RNA. RefSeq lists it as uncharacterized. Lineage: Eukaryota; Metazoa; Chordata; Aves; Accipitriformes; Accipitridae. The transcript is spliced from 3 exons. The record is from RefSeq and is a predicted model, not a curated record.